UCCACUGGCAUUUCUUCAACAGACGCAACAUCAACAUCCUUGGCGGUCACGACUACCUCAUAAGAAGUAGCCUUAUCACCACCAAGGGUCGCGUCGACAACCUUUUCAGGCAAAUAAAAUCAUCAAAAAGACUACAAGACAAACUCUACCAGUUACCAAUGAAUACACAACUACAUACCUUGGUACUCUGCGACUUCUCGGGAGUCAAACUCGAAGUCGAGGCAGACUUAGUA
RNAcentral lists this long non-coding RNA (233 nucleotides) under Setaria italica (foxtail millet). RNAcentral describes it as "long non-coding RNA (SITA_LNC002944)". The record is from RNAcentral. Lineage: Eukaryota; Viridiplantae; Streptophyta; Magnoliopsida; Poales; Poaceae.